RNA transcript from Epinephelus moara (kelp grouper), 12727 nucleotides. It is a transcript of the gene named potassium voltage-gated channel subfamily C member 1-like, with no coding region annotated. The record is from RefSeq and is a predicted model, not a curated record. Lineage: Eukaryota; Metazoa; Chordata; Actinopteri; Perciformes; Serranidae. The transcript has 6 exons.
ACGGUAUAACAGUAGCCUACAGAGCGGCGACCGGUCGUUGAUGGGGAAGGGCAGUAGCCGCAGCAGCAGUCGGGCGCACCGACCGAAGCAUGCUCCAGCGCAACCAUGACUUGCUCGGCGUCAGAUAGCGAGAAGAUCGUGAUCAACUGCGGCGGGAUUCGACACGAGACCUACCGGAGCACCCUCAAGACUUUGCCGGGGACGCGCUUGUCUUGGCUGACCGAACCCGACGCCUACAGCAACUUCGACUACGACCCAAAGUCCGACGAGUUCUUCUUCGACCGCCACCCGGCCACCUUCGCCUUCAUCCUUAACUAUUACCGCACCGGCAAGCUCCACUGCCCCAAUGAUGUAUGUGGGCCGCUCUUUGAGGAGGAGCUCGCCUUCUGGGGCAUCGAUGAGACGGACGUGGAGGCGUGCUGCUGGAUGAACUACCGACAGCACCGUGACGCUGAGGAAGCCCUGGACAGCUUCGAAACCCCCGAGCCGGACGCACCCGAGGAUGACCCGGCGCUCACCGGCGGGGCGGACGGCGACCUGAAGCGGCUGUGCAUGCAGGAGGAUGGCCGCAAGGCGACGUGGUGGGAGGUGUGGCAGCCCAACAUGUGGGCGCUGUUCGAGGACCCCUACUCCUCCAAAUACGCCCGGUAUGUGGCAUUUGCCUCGCUCUUCUUCAUCCUUCUCUCCAUCUCCACCUUCUGCCUGGAGACCCACGAAGCCUUCAACACCAUCUACAAUAAAACAGAAAAUGUCACUGUUGGCAAUGUGACACAUGAGGAGAUAGUGUAUGAGGUAGUCACGGAUGGCUGGCUGACAUAUGUGGAGGGUGUCUGCGUCAUUUGGUUCACCAUUGAGGUAAUGGCGCGUGUUGUCUUCUGCCCUGACAAGGCAGAGUUCUUUCGCAGCGCCCUUAACAUCAUUGACUUUGUGGCCAUCGUGCCCUUUUACUUGGAGGUGGCGCUGAGUGGCCUCUCCUCCAAAACAGCCAAAGACGUGCUAAGCUUCCUGCGUGUGGUGCGCUUUGUCCGUAUCCUGCGUAUAUUCAAGCUGACCCGCCACUUUGUCGGUUUACGGGUCCUGGGCCACACUCUGCGGGCGAGCACCAAUGAAUUCCUGCUGCUCAUCAUCUUCCUGGCGCUGGGCGUCCUCAUCUUUGCUACCAUGAUCUACUAUGCGGAACGCAUUGGUGCCGACCCUGACGAUCCAACAGCUGCAGCUCACACCAACUUCAAGAACAUCCCCAUCGGUUUCUGGUGGGCUGUGGUAACCAUGACCACACUGGGUUAUGGGGAUAUGUAUCCUGAGACAUGGUCAGGAAUGCUGGUGGGUGCCCUCUGCGCCUUGGCUGGUGUGCUGACCAUCGCUAUGCCUGUACCUGUCAUUGUCAACAACUUUGGCAUGUACUACUCCCUGGCUAUGGCCAAGCAGAAGCUCCCCAAGAAGAGGAACAAGCACAUCCCCCGAGCGCCACAGCCUGGCAGCCCCAACUACUGCAAGCCAGAUGCCCUGGCCAUGGCAACCGCCUCGCCACACAGGCUGAUGGGCAAUGUACUUGGGCCAGGAAUGGUGGGAUCCGGCAGCAUGAUGGGUACUGGAGACUGCCCAUUGGCACAGGAGGAGAUUAUCGAGAUCAACAGGGCAGAUUCCAAGCAGAAUGGCGAUGCGGCAGCUAAUGCGGCCGCCCUUGCCAACGAGGACUGCCCCACCAUCGACCAGGUCCUUGGGGAUGAGCGCAGCCCAGCCACCGGGGGCCUGGGCUCCACCACCAGCCGCGAGCGCUACCCUCAUGACAGGGCCUGCUUCCUGCUGAGUGCCGGGGAGUUCCAGCGCACGACAGAUGGGAACGUUCGUAAAGAGAACUGUUCUGAAAGCCCUGUGCUUAUCAGAUAUAUGCAAAAAGAAGCAGUAACUGUGAACUAAUGCUAAAACAUGAAAAAAACAAAUCCAGCUUCUUCCAUCAUUGUCUCAACUCCUCUUCUGCAAGAGAGAGGACAGACCAUCCUCCUCCCAAGAUACCUCCUCACCAAAAUGCCCCUGUUCAUCGUCUCAUUUGUCUGCUUCUUCAUUAUGUCUGUAACUUCAUGCUGCCCAUGUCAUGUUUAUGUCCCUCUGUCCUGUUCUAUUGUCUACACUUGCAUUUAAACUGCAGUGAGUUCAGGAGGAUGCCUCUGCAAUGUGAGAAUGCAAUGAUUCGUUACAAGCUCCCACAAAAGAUGAGGAUCAGGGCCAGAUAAACCUACUAGGGGGCCCUGGGCAAACUGAGCUGUGGCCCCUUUUGAACAAACCCACUCUAACCCAGCUCUUUUUGUUUGUUUCAUUUACACUUGACUAAAUGUAAACGUAUGUAAGAAUACUCACCAUGUAAGCAUAAGUGUGUUUUUAUGUCCAAAACACUGUGCUCAGGUUAGCUCUGCUGGCCUGACUUCAGUGCUUGGACUCAAAGAACCUUGCUAGUCUAGCAACAUCAAGGCUACAAACAAUCCACAAUACAACACUCUGUAGGAACCUACAAUACUCUCACUAUUUAAAAAAUUACCCGAUGUUUUGAAAAUGUGUAUGUCCAGUCCUUGGAUAUAACAUGACCCCCACUUUUUCAGUAGUAAUGUCUUGCCUCAUAUUCUGGCUAUUCCAUUAUGAAGUGCAAGAUCAGGUAAAAAGUCAGAAAAACUAAAAGGUUAAUGGAAUGCUAUCAUCACUUACUUUGUUGGAUAUAAUACCUGUGGAACCAAGUUAGCGGGUGUAAACCAGUGGGCUGUUAGUUAUACAGUCAAAGAUUCAUUUGACAGGAUGGUCAAAAUGGUGAGAUCAUUGAAAACUUUUGAAUUACUUUAUUGUUGCGGACAUUGCCAUUGGUGAAAAGUAUGGGUAUAAGUGUGGUGGAUGGGCGGGUACCGCAUCAAAUCUCCAGGCAGGAGACCAGAAUCCAAUAUGGACAUGCAAUUCAUUUUCAAGUUUUUAUUUUUAACCACGAUCUUUAUCUAACCUUAACAAAGUGUUUUAGUUGCCUAUGAGUCUCAUAUCAGCCAUUAUUUGCCAUAACAAAAAUAUUUUCUUAACCUUAACCAUAGCAGUUGCUAUGUGUAGGUAUUACAAAUAGCAUGAAAAAAAUACGUGAAAGGGUGUCGGAGGCUUAGUGGUAGAGCAGGCGCCCCAUGUACAAGGCUGUUGCCGCAGCGGCCCGGGUUCAACUACAGCCUGUGGCCCUUUGCUGCAUGUCACUCCCUCUCUCUCUCUCCCCCUUCACGCUUGUCUGUCCUGUCAAAUAAAGGCUAAAAAAAAAUGGCCAAAAAAAUAUUAAAAAAAAUCAAAUAAAAUAUGUGAAAUACCUGAAAUGGACACAAACUCAUAACAAAGCAUUGCAUGGUGAGGGGCAGGAAAUAUGUUAAAAUGAUGUGCUGGCAACACAAAAACAAUGCUGAUGACAAGUCUAUUAUGAGUGGUCGCAGUUUCGUUGUGAAACGGUCACAGUUUGGUAGGUUUAGGGAGAGACAAUGACUUGGUUAGGUUUAGAGAACAAAAAAAUACUUGGUUAAGUUUAGGGAAAGAUGGUGGUUUCGAUUAAAAUAACUACAUAUUUAAUGUAAAUUUAUGUAGCCUACUUAGUGUAGUUGCACAUAGUAGUUAUUAGUUAUUUGCAUAUUUACUCAGUGUCAUGUAACUACGUUGAGUUUUGGUUUCACAUGGCAAGCUAAAAGCAGUCUCCCGGUUGAAAGUCUGUGAUUGUUUGACCCAUCCAGCACCACUCCCACUCCCACCCACCGUACCCAGGCUUUUUCACUCUUUAUACUUAAUUUGUGUGUCCACCAAGACAAAAGGUUCUCACUGACUUUGCUUUGGCCUUGUUUUUGUGUUGCCAGCACAUCAUUUUUAACACAUUUCAUACCCCCCAUCACAUAAUGCAUUGUUGAGAAGCCAUGUCCAUUUCAUGUAUUUCUGUAACACCAGGCUGGAUAUUACAGACAGCAAAUUAUUUUAAAAAAACUUUGGCAUUGGAUGUAAAAAAAAUAAUGUGAUUUAUUAUAAGCCAAAGUUUUCCAGGAUCAGUGUUCUUGUCCUCUAAUAGGGUUGAUUGUGCUUUAGUGGUGCAUGUUACGAAAGACAUCUUUGCUGUUUUAUUUUUUGCCUCAAAAAGAUCCUUGAAGAAGUUGCAUUGACUACUCAGUAAGAAACCACACUGCAGAGGCACCCUUCAAAAUUCAAUUUAGUAUUUAACAUUUCUAAAGUUUCUACCCCUUGUUGCCAACAUUUCUCUCUUUUCCAUCCAUUCACAACUCAGGUAUCAAUCUCUCCCUCUGUGCCCCUGUUCACCCAUGUUUCCUCAAAGACGUACUGUAUGUAUGAAAAAGGGAGAGAUGAAAAAAGACGAGUUUUUCCUCUCUUUUCUGUCCCAGUGAAUACCAUGUGCUUUGUUUUGCGGCUCUUGCCCCUACCUUCAAAGAUGCUAUUUUGCUUUCCUAGUCCACCCGUGCUUCCUGUCUUCUCUUUGUGUCAUUCCCUCGUCUUUCCACCCUCAAUGACUGUGUCCCUCUUUCUGUGAGACACACCAUCUGUUGUCCCCCCACCCUGAAGUCUCUCACAGCAAAAACCAAAAAGGAAUUGAGUAAAAUUGGAGCAUCUUCGCACCUAAAAAAAAAAAAAAAAAAAAAAAAGUUUUGCCAAACACUGGAUUUCACCGAGGAGGAAGACAGGAACGGACAUUUAAAUGACUGAAAAACACUGCAGUGGUAUAUUGUAGAAGGGAAGGAGGGAAAAAUGUGCUGUGAAAUGAUGUGUUCUGAGUGGAUUGUCAGCCGAGCAGCAUCAGAGGGAGGAGAUGGAGGAGGAAAAGUUUGGGGAAGACAGAAAAGUGUGGUGAUAAGGAGAAGGAAAGAAAGAAAGAAGCAAAAUCGCUUCUCCAUUGCUAAGUUUCUAACCCCCCCCCUGCGCCCCCCUUUUCUCUACAUGAAGAGGAAGACAAUGAACUUUAAACCACUGCUUCUUCAUCUUCCUCAACGGGAUUCACUGUAGAAAAAGGGAGGGAGAUAGAGAGAAAGAAAAAAAAGAAGACGGGUGGCAGAAAUCGUCCCUUGCACUCAGACCUGAACAUUUUUCAUCAUCUAUGUGACACAUUCAAAUGCAACUUGGGUGAUGAUCCUAAUGAAGAAAAUGGUUCUAAUCACAUAAAAGCUAUUUCAAGAUGGGGAGAGAGAACAUUUUCACCUCUUUUCAACUGCUUUGCAGAGCAAACCACAGCAUGGAUGCACCCAGUGUAGCAGCCAGAGGGCCUGUGACAGUUUGGGUUUGGAAACCAUACAGCAAGGAUGCCCGCUAUUUAUGUUAUGAGUUUUGCUUUACUACUUUUUUUUUUUUUUUUUCCAAGAAGCUUCAUUGACAACUGUUGAUUUCCAGUGGAUGUGCCAUUGUUUUGGCAUUCAAAGCACUAUGCAAGGUGAGGGGUGGUCCAUUGUGAUGUCUAACUGCUCUGUUGGAGUCCCAUCCAGUGUUGGUGCUGGGCUGCACAGGACAGGCUGCCCUGCUAAUCUCUGCAGAGCUACAGGACCUCUAACAGCAGGCUGAAAUCUACUCAUACAUAUCAGAAAACAUCAGCCAUAUCACAUGUAUAUUUGAUAUGAUCUUGAUCCUGAAUUUGGUAUAAUCUGAAUCUUCCACGAGACAGUUGACAUCUUGGGACUUCGUGAACAAUUGAUCAGUUUGAGAUCUUAUGUCAAAGAGCCAGUUUUCAUCCACCUUGUAAUGGAAUUAACCCAAAGACAGACAGAUGGAUGAACAUAUCAACUGGGGUGAACAAAAGCCCUCAAAGACAAGAAACAUCUGCUAAAGAAAAGGAGGUGUCACUGAAAACGGAGAUGUGAUUGACCCUCUUUCUCUCUUUCUCACUCUCUCUUUCCCUCUCAAGUGUUUACAGUAUCUUGACAGCCCCCCUCCCUGCAUCUCGCUGCUGCUCCUCCUCUUUAGCAAAACUGCAUGGCAUGAAUGAAACCAAUUAAAUCCCGCAGAAAGACAGUCAGAGACACAAUGGAUGGAUUAAAAAAAGGGGGAAGAGAGAACGGAAGGAGUCAAUGAGAAAGGGGGUGAGAGACCACAGAUUUAUUUUUUUUCAUGCAGCAAUGUCAAUGCAAAGUCAUCAUCAUCCAAGCUACUUUUUAAUCCCCUCAAAGUGGCUGCUAACAUGUACAAAACAGCAUCUCCUGCAGUGAACUACUCUCUCAAAAGGCAUGAUGGAUGAGGAGGAGCUCCCUCCCCCUCUGAGGGAAAGAGGAAGGGAGGAAGGAGAGUCUGCAGACCAUACACUCUAUACCUCUGGGGAUGUGGGGCAAGAAGAAAGAGGCUUUUUAAAGAAAGCAGGUAUUCAGCAGGAGUGGGAGAACAUCUUUGAGAACCUAUUCUAGGGACAAAAAAAUGGCAAUGAUUGCAAAUUAGAAAUGCAUUUUUAUGACAUUGUUUACCAGCAUGAAUAUUUUGCAUGACUUCUGCAAGCCAUUCUGAUCUCCCCCAUGAGUAACAGGGCUAGAAAUUGAGAAUUUAAACAUGAACAUUUAACAAAAUUAUGUUAUAUGCAACAGAUUAAAAAAGGGUAGGAUUAUGUUUAAAAAAGAUUUUAUCGAUUUUGUUUUUAAUGAUAAUACACAAAUAAUUAAGAAAAAAAGGGGUUGCAAUAUCUACCCUGUUUUGUUUUCUUUAAGAAAUCUUAGGAGACCCCCCACCCCUCCAAAAUCCAAGAAGACUCCUCCGAACUUCUGCAAGUAUUUAUUCUGCUACUACAAGUUUGUCUACUAUUACUUCAACUUCUCACCUGGCUGCAACUCUGCUUCUUCUUCCUCCUCCUCUUCUCUUUCUUCUUCCUCUUGUAGCCUUUUACCAGAACCCUUAUACGUAACUCUCUCCAAUGGCAGCUGUGUGUGUCUGCGUUACAAUGUGGACCCAGGACUAUCAAACUGAUGCUGAACUGAACUGUGCUGUCCACUCAGAGAUGUCACUGAGUCUGUGUGUUUGAAUUGAAAUUGCCUGUGUCCCAUUUUUGAAAACUUUUUCCUGACCUUGAUAUCCAAGUCAACAUCACACUUUUUAUGUUUUAGAAGGGUCAUAUGAAGUCUAGGAUCAAAAAUAAGCCAGGAAAAGGUAUAGAAGAAGGUUGUUACCCACAUAAUGAUCCAGGCAAUUCUGACAAGGUUCAAGAUGGCUGCCUCAUCAUCCAGGGCUGUUAUUCUAUCUUAGAUUUUUGUCCGUGAGAAUGUAUUGGUUCAUUUCCCCAAAGAUCAAAUGCUUUUUUGUAAUUUCCCUUCUGUAUUAUCAGUUAUCAGUUUGAAUUAAGCUUAAAAUUGAUACAUGUUCUAUAGGGGUUGAAGGGUUGAAAUCAUGACCUAAUUAUGUCAAUUAUAUGUACCAUUUGUGUGAACAAACACACACCAAACAUCCCACCAAAAUUCUGUGAGAUUUUUUUAACAUUCUCAAAGAAUAAAUUAAAUGUUAUCUCCCAACAUUAUGGUCUGAAAUCAAGGGGGGGGGGGGGUUUGCCUGAAAGGAAUCGGAAAGAAAACCAAAAAAAAAAAACCCACACAAAAUGUGUACAGACAGGCAGUUUAUCAGUAUGAACUUUGUCUGAUGAAGGUCUGAGGACUGAAACAUUGUGAUAAUAAAGUUAGGUGGGCAGUGUGCAUGAAUUUUUGGUUUUCUUUUUAAGUGAAGAGGUUUUCUUCAACAGUUUUGAAAUUACAGCCUAAAAACAAUCAAAUUGAAGCAAAAAUUAUCAGACUCAGCCCCCAAAAAACAAAUGUACUUACUUACUUAUAAUCAUAGACCAUAAAGUAAUUUCCCUCAUUCAUCGUAAAAAAUAGAGUAAAUGACCUCUGUGUUCUCAGUGGUAGCCGUGGACCUGACCAAACACAAGGAGAGACAAUAUGUAUUUCAGGAGAUUUGAAGUCUUCAUGGAAACAUCUCAUCUUAACACAGACUGAAAGCAGACAAAUUGAAGGGCGUCAUCUGCAAAUGUUUGCUCCGGUAGCUUUUUUUUAUGCAAUAGCUUUACCAAAUCUUCCCUUCGACUCUGUCAGUGAAUUGCACAGUUCCCUAAGGAAUUCACCUGUGUAGUGAAGGGGAGUGAUUAUUAAUAAACCCCACGUGAGUUAGCUGGAAUGUAGCCACAUUUGUUUGGUUAAAGAUCCCAUAUUUAAAAACACUAUAUUACAGUGGAGCUUCAUUCGAAGUGUAUUUAUUCACUGAAUGAAGUUGGAAAAUAAGUCAUCACCAUAUUAAUAUCUCCUUGGCUUUUAAUACCAAUUUUAUUGAUGAGCUCAGCUGACUCAAUGUGUAUCAAAAAUCACACCAAUCUCUUAUCAGUUCAUCCUUAAAAGUGAUCCCAUUUGAUAAAUGUUAUUAAUUGGUUGGUGAGGUAAUACGCAAUCACUCCAAACAAAGUCUCAUUUAAACACUGUGGUGAUAGUCCCACAACAAGUUGCUUUAACACUAAAAUAGGUUUGGUCUGUCACUUGCUAAUACAACUUGGUGAGACGAGGUAGGAGCAGAAGAGGCACACGUGUGCAGUGUACACUUCAUUUGUCAGACCAGCAUUAAUGAAUGAACAGCCGCACCUGUUGGUGGUGGUUCCCCGAGGGUGAGAGGUAGCCAUCUUGGCUAUAUGUGUUCAAGCAAGUACUCCUGUUAUGCAUGGCUGUGGGGAAUAAAGUAUUCUCACAAUCUCUGGACAGAUUUGGAUAAACUAAAUAAACAGACGAAAACACAUAAAAAGUUGGAAAUGCCUUUAAAGGUGGCAGAAGCACUUGAAAGCUAGCAGGUACUGGAAGAUGUGUCAUCACAAAAAAUGCUGUAAAUUGUGCUGGUAUUUUACUUUUGUCUUCUUUUUAUUUAUUUUUUAUUAUGCAUCUCGUAUGAACAUUAAUGUUUAUUUGUAAUGCUGUUUAGUAGCUCUCUGUUUAUUGGUAUUUAUGAGACUAUGUAUGCCCACCACUUGGGGAAAAUUGUUUGAACUUGUUUUGAGGCAUGGAUGGAUUACUGAACAGGCUUACCAGGCACAGGUCUAUAGGCUCAAAGGAUAGGGGUCCCCUGGAUGUGAGCCUCUCUUGUUGAAGUGACGGAUACCAUAUAUUCUUGGGAAGUUAAUCAAAUGGCUACAAACAGACACAAAAUGACCACAAAGAGACUGAAAAACUACUUCAAAGAGAAGCAAAAGGACUGCAAAGAGAUGGCAAAUGACUACAAAGAGAAUGAAAAACCACUGCACAGACACAAAAAUGACUACAAAGAGAAGAAAAACCUUUACACAGGGAUUCAAAACAACUACAAAGAGACACAAAGUGACUAAUAAGAGAAGCAGAGGACAACAAGAGAAGCAAAUUGUCGGCAAAAAGACACCAAAUUAAGGAGACUCAAAACCUACUGCAAAGACACAAAUGACCACAAAGGGAAGUGAAAAGACUCAAAAACAUAUACAAAGACACACAAUAUGACUACAAGAGAAGUGAAAUGAAGACAAAGAGUUACAAGACUCAAAAACUCCUGCAAAGACAAAAUAUGACUUCAAGAGAAGCAAUCGAUUACAUGAGAAUGCAAAACAAUUACGGACUCAAAACUACUACAAAGACACUCUAAAUGACUACAAAGAGACACAAAACUACUACAUACAGUAGAUACUCAAACACCCAGAGACUUGGUCAGUUGGGCUUUUUAUAUGUCUGUGCCCAGGGGCCCGUUGAUCCAUCCAUGUUUUGUUUGUUUUGUUUGUUUGUUUGUUUGUUUUUAUGUGGCUGACAUACAGUAGGGCUAUAACAAACAUCAAACCACAAUGUUCUCAUGUAAUUCUGUAAUGUUAACAAAUGACAGAAAAGAACCAUUAGACAAAGUGUCCAGCUACCACGAUCAAAUCUGCACUCUCCUGUUGUCACUGCUUUUGCCAAAAUCACCAGCCAAAGAAGUUCAUCAGCUGUACUUCACACUUUUAAAUUAGGGCAGUCAAACUAAAAGAGUCUACCCUUGGACUGGACGCUCACAAAAAUGUUAUCGUCACAUUGCUGGGCUGCGAGGGGAAGAAAAUUUCUAUGAGAAGGAACUUAAGACUGACAUUUUUUGUACUGACAUGAAUUCUCUGACCCUGGAACCCAUCUCAGAUUUUCUAAUGUUGAAAUUGGCAAUUUAUGCAACCUGUGCCAGGUCUGCUACUUUACCAUGAUAGAUUUUGGUUUAUAUACGCAGUAAAACCUUUCUUAACUUUGAUUAUCUUCACAUUAUUGUUGAGCACAGCAGAAAAGGUCCUUUGUGCACUUAAUGAAUUACAGAUUUGGGAAGUCCUAGGCACUUCAGGACUUUUUAAGUUUGCAAACUGUGUGAAUGUUUGAAAUUUUCAAAAAUUGCUCACUGGAUGGACAAAAUUGUUUAAUCUUUGCUUGUCAUUAAAAAAUUACAAAUUGUAGCAUUUACAGCAUGUGCAACCACAGCAACCAAACCCGAUAACUUGAAGGGGCCAGGGCUGAAAAGUUCUAAAUCCUCUAGCUGGUUAUAUAUGAGGUUUGGUUUGCACUAUGUUGUGCAUUGUGGGGACCAAAAAGGUUUCUAGUUGAUAUCCAUACUCUGUUCAAAUGCCGUCACACUUCACAGCAGGAAAAAAUCAUAGGGAAUUAUUCAGACACACUUUCCUUUGUAUCAUUCUGGGGGAAUCUUAACAGAUACCAGGGAGCCAAAAAUCACAUAGAAAAUAGGGCUUAUCUCAGGAAUACACUGUUUCAAAAAUCUGAGAGGUGGAAUGUAUUAUGAUGCUGCAGUAUGUACUUUCAGGAAGGUUUCAAGUUGCAUAUAUUGAAUAUUAUGAUUAUUUUAAUGGAUCCCAACAACACUACUGAAGCCUGAAAGUAGAUUUUUCUGUCCUUUUGGUCUAAACUAUGUCCGAUUGUCCUAACACACUCCACUAGGUCUCAUUGCUUCCAGGGUGUUCUUUUUAUGUUGUUUUGUAUGUAACAGGAAUCAAUUCUGCUAUUUUAUAUCACUUGUCUUCCUAAAGGUGUAAAGUACAGCUUCAGAAAAUAAUAGAAAUAAUAGCCUACCAUGUACUGUACUGUAGCUAUACCAAGGCAAACACAACUUCUUUCAGUGUCAUUAAUCACUUUGUUGGUUUCUAUUGGUUUCAGCAUUUUUUACGUUGUUGCUGUUACUGUAGUUUUUGGGUUUACAUGUCAUUAAUGUUGUAUUUUGUAACACAUGCAAUUAUGAUGAAUUAUGAUCAUGAAGAUUAUAGGAAUGCAUCAAUUAAUGCUGUGCAGCAUGCAGUGAACAUAAAGACACCAGGGGCACCAGGUUUCAUGUCAGGUUUCAACAACUGGUUAUGUGUCUAAGAUGGGGUUUGGGGGAUUUAAUCAGGGGGCAAAUUUGGCCUUUAUGAAUAUCUGGUUGUACAUCUGUUACUGCAGAAUGAAUGAUACAAGGGGAUUUAUACCAUGGCCCUAACCCUUCACUGUAGAUGUAAAAUGUAAAGCCUUUGAGCAAUAAAACAGUAUGGGAUUGAGCCAACAAAGUUAAUAGACAAUAUCACCAACAAAACUGCCCAUAAAUUUGUGUAUCCCUACCUAAAGGCUGUGCAAGUGAAGGGGUUUUACAAAAACAAAUGCAAGUUAAGGUAUCUAAAUGUAACAUAGCAUCAAAAGAAGCUUCUUCUAAUUUAUUGAUUGUCCCUGAAGUUUGGAAUCUUGUAAGAGACAAAUUUAAGAAAAAAGGACACAAAUUGCAACAGCUGAGGCCAAGAUAGUGUUUGUCAUUACACCCACAUCUUUUAAACUUCACGUCAGUAGUUUGCAACGUUUGCUCAGUUGACAGCAGUCAUGCUCAACAUUUUGGUGUGAUGAAGAUUAAUUCUAUUAUGACUAAGUCGAUUGGUUGAGACCUCAUGGAAACAUUGGUCAAACCAGAAACUCUUCUAGGUAUUCAGCUCGCAGCCUUUGUGCUGUCCCUAUUCAAAAUUCUGUAGUCCUCAUGAAAUAAAUACAUGAAAUAAGUGUAAAUUUACAUAGGUUUGACCUGAGUGGAGAGCAUAUCGUGUGUAGAGGCCACAAAUUCUUUUUUUGCAAUGAAAAAGCACACAAGAGCAGAAAUUGCAAAAUAGUUUAUUGACACUGAAAGACUGAAUUUUUUCACUCCUCUGGCACCCUGCAGAAAUUACCUUUGUUGCUCAGUUUAAGAACACUUAGCAGGCAGAGCAAAGAUAGUCGAUGUCCCCAAUAUCUUGUUUGAUACUCCACAGUAUGGAACACAAAAAAUCUCAGAAUAUAGGUUCAACCCAGCAUCCAUACAUUUCCUUAGGCAUGUUGCUUCAGAAAUCAACUUCAGUAAGUCAUAAUAGAGAUUGGUAGGGCAGUGGUAGAAGAAGAAGAGGAAGUGAUGGCAGCGCAGUUCUAGAGAGACAAAUAUAAACCCUGAUUUUUCCACUGCAGUGUAGUGGGGACAGAGCAAUAAUGGUAUAAGAUCUUUUUUAGGGUUUUGGUUAUGUGUGCGUACCAGUGUGUCUGAGAUUGUGAGUGUUUGUGUAAUUGUGAUGUGUGUGUAAGAAAGGAAGCGUGCUGUGCAAACUGAGCUAAGCCACACCCCUGUGAGACGACUAACAGCUGAGCUAACCAAUAUUGCAACUUUACUUGAAACCCAAACAACGACUAAACAUAUCAGGACAAGAUGCAGAGGAGCUGCUCUGCCCACUGUCAUCCCCAUCCCCCCACCCCCCACCCCCACCCCC